Molecule: non-coding RNA, 1032 nt
Organism: Tetranychus urticae (two-spotted spider mite)
Lineage: Eukaryota; Metazoa; Arthropoda; Arachnida; Trombidiformes; Tetranychidae
Source: RefSeq, a predicted model, not a curated record
AAAGGGAUGAUUCAUUUGGCUGUUUUUUCAUUUCCUUGAGUUGCCAUUUUGUUUUUCAUCAAAUGUUAUGUUUAAUUUAACAAUUUGAAUCAAAUAUUUAUAUUUAUUGUUAUUUGUUAUGCUACCUCUCACUGUGAUUAACUAUUGAUUUGUAUGCGUUUGUGGGUUCAAAGGUUUCACUUAAAAUAAAUGGGUAUCCAGCCAGUCAAUGUUUGAUGAGAAAGUGUCAUUCUAGAAAAAGUUUUCUCUUCCCUCUUCCCUCUUCACCAUUACCAUCAUCAUAAUCAUCAUCAGCAACAAAACAUGAACAUCAUUUUGACGUGAAAUCAUGUGCUUCUUUGCCUUCAUUUAUUUCUCAUCAUUUUUACAGCGCCUUCAUCAUCAUCUUGGUGUCAUCAUAAGGUGAUAGAUGUGAAUUAAGCAGGACACAGACAAAGUUGAUGGUCACCAUGAAUUCAUGAUGAUGGAAACGGUUUCAAUCUAGAUAGAUUGAUAUUACUUGGUUUUGACAUUUAUUUGACGUACACAUCAAAAGAUAACUAAAUUUCUGGUCUUUCUCUUCAAUCUUUUUUUGGCUUUUCACUUGAUCACCAAUUUGAAUUUGAGUUUGAGUAAAUUUGCAUUCAUUAACAGAUUCUGAUUACUGAUUUUAUUAUCAAUGAGUCUUUCCCAAUCUCAAUAAUAUCUUUCCCACAAUUUAAUUUAUAUUUUUCAUUAAAAUUAGUUACAAAACAGCGCAAAGCUGACAAAACUGUCAAUGAUAAUUAGCCCAACAAAUCAAUUAUGAAUAACCUUUUUUUUUGUGAUUAUGUUUUUUUUGUAAACCAGCUGCUUGUUGAUUGUCGUUGCUGCAUUUGUUUGCAAAUAUAAGCUGAAAGCCUGAUGAUGCUUUGAUUAUUAUCAUCAUUAUCAACAGCAAAAAUUACCCUUCAACCAAGGAGCAACUGAAAAAGUAUAUAAAGAAGUGAAGGGAAAAAGAUUGUUAUUACUUGAUCAAGAUUGAUUAAAAUCUCAUUAUAUUUAACCUCAAAA